RNAcentral lists this ribosomal RNA (619 nucleotides) under Staphylococcus pseudintermedius. RNAcentral describes it as "partial 23S ribosomal RNA". It matches the Rfam family "Bacterial large subunit ribosomal RNA", at positions 407 to 1027 of the family's 2925-position model. The record is from RNAcentral. Lineage: Bacteria; Bacillati; Bacillota; Bacilli; Caryophanales; Staphylococcaceae.
CCUGAGUACGACGGAGCACGUGAAAUUCCGUCGGAAUCUGGGAGGACCAUCUCCUAAGGCUAAAUACUCUCUAGUGACCGAUAGUGAACCAGUACCGUGAGGGAAAGGUGAAAAGUACCCCGGAAGGGGAGUGAAAGAGAACUUGAAACCGUGUGCUUACAAGUAGUCAGAGCCCGUUAAUGGGUGAUGGCGUGCCUUUUGUAGAAUGAACCGGCGAGUUACGAUCUGAUGCAAGGUUAAGCAGAAAAUGUGGAGCCGUAGCGAAAGCGAGUCUGAAUAGGGCGAAUGAGUAUUUGGUCGUAGACCCGAAACCAGGUGAUCUACCCUUGGUCAGGUUGAAGUUCAGGUAACACUGAAUGGAGGACCGAACCGACUUACGUUGAAAAGUGAGCGGAUGAACUGAGGGUAGCGGAGAAAUUCCAAUCGAACUUGGAGAUAGCUGGUUCUCUCCGAAAUAGCUUUAGGGCUAGCCUCAAGUGAUGAUUAUUGGAGGUAGAGCACUGUUUGGACGAGGGGCCCCUCUCGGGUUACCGAAUUCAGACAAACUCCGAAUGCCAAAUAAUUUAACUUGGGAGUCAGAAUGUGGGUGAUAAGGUCCAUAUUCGAAAGGGAAACAGCC